This 460-nucleotide ribosomal RNA is filed under the name uncultured bacterium. RNAcentral's name for it is "partial 16S ribosomal RNA". It matches the Rfam family "Bacterial small subunit ribosomal RNA", at positions 338 to 795 of the family's 1533-position model. The record is from RNAcentral.
CCUACGGGAGGCAGCAGUGAGGAAUAUUGGUCAAUGGACGGAAGUCUGAACCAGCCAUGCCGCGUGAAGGAAGACGGCUCUAUGAGUUGUAAACUGCUUUUGUACAAGGGUAAAUCUGAAUACGUGUAUUCAGCUGAAAGUACUGUACGAAUAAGGAUCGGCUAACUCCGUGCCAGCAGCCGCGGUAAUACGGAGGAACCAAGCGUUAUCCGGAUUUAUUGGGUUUAAAGGGUGCGUAGGCGGAGUGAUAAGUUAGAGGUGAAAUGUCCGAGCUUAACUCGGGAACUGCCUCUAAUACUGUUGUUCUAGAGAGUAGGUGCGGUAGGCGGAAUGUAUGGUGUAGCGGUGAAAUGCUUAGAGAUCAUACAGAACACCGAUUGCGAAGGCAGCUUACCAAUCUAUAUCUGACGUUGAGGCACGAAAGCGUGGGGAGCAAACAGGAUUAGAUACCCGGGUAGUC